GUUGUAAUCUAUAGAGGGAGUUUCGGGUAAAGUCUGGUUUAAGUUCCUUGGAACAGGACGUCAUAGAGGGUGAGAACCCCGUCAGUAACCAAUCACCAACCCAUGUGAAACCCCUUCGACGAGUCGAGUUGUUUGGGAAUGCAGCUCCAAAUGGGUGGUAAAUUUCAUCUAAAGCUAAAUAUUGGCCGGAGACCGAUAGCGCACAAGUAGAGUGAUCGAAAGAUGAAAAGCACUUUGGAAAGAGAGUUAAAUAGUACGUGAAAUUGUUGAAAGGGAAGCGCUUGUGGCCAGACCUGUGCAUAGGUGAUCAGCUGGUAUUUUUACCAGUGCACUCACCUAAAGCCAGGCCAGCAUCGGUUUCGGCGGCGGGACAAAAGCGUGGAGAAUGUAACUCUCUCUUGGGUGAGUACUUAUAGCUCGUCAUGAAAUGCCGCCAGCCGAGACCGAGGACCGCGCUUCGGCUAGGAUGCUGGCGUAAUGGUUGCAAGCGACCCGUCUUGAAACACGGACCAAGGAGUCUAACAUCUAUGCGAGUGUUUGGGUGUAAAACCCAGGCGCGGAAUGAAAGUGAACGGAGGUGGGAACCCUUAAAGGGGGUGCACCAUCGACCGAUCCUGAUGUCUUCGGAUGGAUUUGAGUAUGAGCAUAGCUGUUGGGACCCGAAAGAUGGUGAACUAUGCCUGAACAGGGUGAAGCCAGAGGAAACUCUGGUGGAAGCUCGCAGCGGUUCU
This 731-nucleotide ribosomal RNA is filed under the name Peltigera stanleyensis. RNAcentral's name for it is "partial 28S large subunit ribosomal RNA". It matches the Rfam family "Eukaryotic large subunit ribosomal RNA", at positions 142 to 887 of the family's 3401-position model. Lineage: Eukaryota; Fungi; Ascomycota; Lecanoromycetes; Peltigerales; Peltigeraceae. The record is from RNAcentral.